GGGUAUGGACCACCACCACCUCAACCACAAGGAUACCCUCCACCGGGGAUGCCAUCACCACCAGGGCUUUACGGUGGAGGCGGCUACCCUCCUCCACCACCACCUCCUGGACCCCACAGUUAUCAAGGCUACUUUAAUGAUCAAUACCCUCCACCACCACCUCAGCACAUCUACCAUGACCAGGGUGGUGGCUAUUAUCAUGGUGAUGACAAUGGCUGUUCUUCAUUCCUAAAAGGGUGGUAUGUCAUCUCUCACUCUCUU
Molecule: long non-coding RNA, 261 nt
Filed under: Nicotiana tabacum (common tobacco)
Lineage: Eukaryota; Viridiplantae; Streptophyta; Magnoliopsida; Solanales; Solanaceae
Description: long non-coding RNA (NTAB_LNC007150)
Source: RNAcentral